This 253-nucleotide ribosomal RNA is filed under the name uncultured bacterium. RNAcentral's name for it is "partial 16S ribosomal RNA". It matches the Rfam family "Bacterial small subunit ribosomal RNA", at positions 524 to 776 of the family's 1533-position model. The record is from RNAcentral.
UACAGAGGGGGCAAGCGUUGUUCGGAAUUACUGGGCGUAAAGGGCGCGUAGGCGGCCUUCUAAGUCGAACGUGAAAUCCCCGGGCUCAACCCGGGAACUGCGUCCGAUACUGGAAGGCUUGAAUCCGGGAGAGGGAUGUGGAAUUCCAGGUGUAGCGGUGAAAUUCGUAGAUAUUCGCAAGAACACCAGUGGCGAAGGCGGCUCACUGGCCCGAUACUGACGCUGAGGCACGAAAGCGUGGGGAGCAAACAGG